Molecule: ribosomal RNA, 454 nt
Filed under: uncultured Rikenellaceae bacterium
Lineage: Bacteria; Pseudomonadati; Bacteroidota; Bacteroidia; Bacteroidales; Rikenellaceae
Description: partial 16S ribosomal RNA
Rfam family: Bacterial small subunit ribosomal RNA
Source: RNAcentral
ACGGGAGGCAGCAGUGAGGAAUAUUGGUCAAUGGACGGAAGUCUGAACCAGCCAUGCCGCGUGAAGGAAUAAGGCCCUAUGGGUCGUAAACUUCUUUUGUGGUGGAGCAAUAAGGUGCACGCGUGCAUCGAUGAGAGUACAUCACGAAUAAGCAUCGGCUAACUCCGUGCCAGCAGCCGCGGUAAUACGGAGGAUGCAAGCGUUAUCCGGAUUUAUUGGGUUUAAAGGGUGCGUAGGCUGUUCUUCAAGUCAGAGGUGAAAUACCCGAGCCUAACUCGGGAACUGCCUUUGAUACUGGAGGGCUUGAAUACUGUUGCCGUGGGAGGAAUGAGUAGUGUAGCGGUGAAAUGCAUAGAUAUUACUCAGAACACCGAUUGCGAAGGCAUCUCACGAAGCAGCGAUUGACGCUGAGGCACGAAAGCGUGGGGAUCGAACAGGAUUAGAUACCCUGGUA